Molecule: non-coding RNA, 29 nt
Filed under: Homo sapiens (human)
Lineage: Eukaryota; Metazoa; Chordata; Mammalia; Primates; Hominidae
Source: RNAcentral
UGGAGUUAUGUUCCUAGGAGGAUUAUGGC